CGGAGGGUGCAAGCGUUAUCCGGAUUCACUGGGUUUAAAGGGUGCGUAGGUGGGCAAGUAAGUCAGUGGUGAAAUCUCCGGGCUUAACCCGGAAACUGCCAUUGAUACUAUUUGUCUUGAAUGUCGUGGAGGUAAGCGGAAUAUGUCAUGUAGCGGUGAAAUGCUUAGAUAUGACAUAGAACACCGAUAGCGUAGGCAGCUUACUACACGAAUAUUGACACUGAGGCACGAAAGCGUGGGGAUCAAACAGGAUUAGAUACCCUGGUAGUCCACGCCCUAAACGAUGGAUACUCGACAUCAGCGAUACACUGUUGGUGUCUGAGCGAAAGCAUUAAGUAUCCCACCUGGGAAGUACGACCGCAAGGUUG
Molecule: ribosomal RNA, 368 nt
Filed under: uncultured organism
Description: bacterial SSU rRNA
Rfam family: Bacterial small subunit ribosomal RNA
Source: RNAcentral